UGAGGAAUUUUGGACAAUGGGGGAAACCCUGAUCCAGCCAUCCCGCGUGUGCGAUGAAGGCCUUCGGGUUGUAAAGCACUUUUGGCAGGAAAGAAACGUCAUGGGUUAAUACCCCAUGAAACUGACGGUACCUGCAGAAUAAGCACCGGCUAACUACGUGCCAGCAGCCGCGGUAAUACGUAGGGUGCAAGCGUUAAUCGGAAUUACUGGGCGUAAAGCGUGCGCAGGCGGUUCGGAAAGAAAGAUGUGAAAUCCCAGGGCUUAACCUUGGAACUGCAUUUUUAACUACCGGGCUAGAGUGUGUCAGAGGGAGGUAGAAUUCCGCGUGUAGUAGUGAAAUGCGUAGAUAUGCGGAGGAAUACCGAUGGCGAAGGCAGCCUCCUGGGAUAACACUGACGCUCAUGCACGAAAGCGUGGGGAGCAAACAGG
RNAcentral lists this ribosomal RNA (429 nucleotides) under uncultured Achromobacter sp. RNAcentral describes it as "bacterial SSU rRNA". It matches the Rfam family "Bacterial small subunit ribosomal RNA", at positions 355 to 776 of the family's 1533-position model. The record is from RNAcentral. Lineage: Bacteria; Pseudomonadati; Pseudomonadota; Betaproteobacteria; Burkholderiales; Alcaligenaceae.